UACAGGGGGUGCAAACGUUGCUCGGAAUCAUUGGGCGUAAAGCGCACGUAGGCGGUUCGUUAUGUCGGAUGUGAAAGCCCUUGGCUUAACCGAGGAAGUGCAUCCGAAACUGGCGAGCUAGAGUACUAAAGAGGAUCGCGGAAUUCCCGGUGUAGAGGUGAAAUUCGUAGAUAUCAGGAGGAACACCGAUGGCGAAGGCAGGUCUCUGGGCCACUACUGACGCUGAGAAGCGAAAGCAUGGGGAGCGAACAGG
This 253-nucleotide ribosomal RNA is filed under the name uncultured bacterium. RNAcentral describes it as "partial 16S ribosomal RNA". It matches the Rfam family "Bacterial small subunit ribosomal RNA", at positions 524 to 776 of the family's 1533-position model. The record is from RNAcentral.